Molecule: long non-coding RNA, 1792 nt
Organism: Bactrocera neohumeralis
Lineage: Eukaryota; Metazoa; Arthropoda; Insecta; Diptera; Tephritidae
Exons: 2
Source: RefSeq, a predicted model, not a curated record
AACAAGAUUGCGCAAUGACGAGUUCAAAUUUUGUUCGUUCUGCGCAUCUACGUCACGGUUGACCAACGUACAAUCAGCUGAUUUUCAGUUGCUUGUUUUUCUUUGCGAUAAGAAUGAAUUUUGUAUUCCAGGCAUACAGAAACAUGAAUAUUAUCAAAAGUUAACAUUAAUAUAAGUGAAUAUUAAUAAAAAAUGUCAAUCUGAGCGAAUAUUUUAUAGUGAACAUUUACCUACAUAUUCAUUUCAUUGUAUUUUCGUUGUAUUAUUUAAUUUUGUCUCCUUGCUGUGUUUGUUUCAACUAUAUACAUUUAUGCAAAUAAAAAUGUCUAAAUGACUCUCAGUCUACACCGUCAUGAAACACAGCUACAUCACCUUUCACCACCCCACAUUGGCAGACAAAAUUAUCAUAAACGAACAGCACGCUUCACUCACCACUCACCUUCCACAUCACACCAAUACACUCAAAUAUGACACCACACUAUCAACUAGAACACCACAACUUUCAAAAAAAAAGGGACAUACAACUCCAGCCACCUUCACUUCGCUUAUUGCUUCCGUACGAGCCAACACUCAUGACACUUGCGCAUACCCUUUCGCAGCAUAUUUUCUUCCUUUUUUGUUUCCACGUCCAUCAUCGUUUGUUGAUUCCGCCGCCGAUUGAGGUAUACGAUCAGUUUAUAACGUUUAAGAAUAUUCUGAAAUAAAAUAUAAUUACGAAAUUUACACAUCCAAAAAAACCCUGUGCUGUGCGUUAUUUCUUUUAUAACAAAAAGUGAGUUCGGAAAUAAAAUAGAAUUGUGAAUUUGAAAUCCAAAAACCCGUUCUGUGCGUUGUCUCUUUUAGACUAACAAGUGAGUUUCGGAAAUAAAGGUGAGUUCACCAGUUAAUAAAACAUGGUCCUUCGAGCCUACAGAAAGGCACCUUAAAAAAGAAAACCAAAAAAAAAAAUAAUAAUAAUAAAAUAAUAAUAAUAAAAAUUUUUAAUUAAAUAAAGUGUGGUGAGUAAUACACAUAUUUUUAAAACUAUAAAAGUGGAAAAAAUAUUAGAAAACAGUGGGGUGAAAAAUACCUAAAAAUCAUAAAUAAAAAAAAAUUGUCAUAUUAUAAAGUGUUAGAGGAGUGCAACACAGUUCGGAUAUAUGAACACAUAUACAUAUGUAUGUAUACAUCUAUACAUUGAAGCGAACAAAAACCCAUCAAAAAAAAAAAAGGAAGACUAAACGAAAACAAAAACAACAACAACAGCGGGCGCGAAACUAAAUAAAUCACACCACCGGGCGCGGAUAAUAAAAACAAAGACAACAUACCCAAACGCACUUACAUAAGCACACAGGAUAAUAGGAGCAUACGAAGAGCAGUGGGAUAAGAAGCAUAAGGAAACAAACAUUAGGGCAAGCCACAAAUAAAUACACUCCCCCAAAAUUCCCUUGAUGCGUGAAAGGGUAGAUGCAAACCACUCCGCCAAAGUUUCCGUUGUAGAUAGGAAGUCAAUUAAAGACAAUGUGUUCACAGGACAGAUAACGUAUACCGCUGAAGAUUUAAACCUUUUAAUUCUGGGUAUGCACAGCUCAAGAAACAAAGAAGAUAUUUAAAAAAAAUAUCGGAAAGCUUAUCAAAAUAAAUUAAAUUAUUUAUGAUUAAGAAUAUUUGUAUAAAUAAUAUGCAUAGCAAAUGAUAUUGUUGCUAAACAACUUAUUUUAAUAAAUUUCUGAAUAUAAGUAUAAUCGGUCGCAUCUUUAAGAAACUCUAGUAGUAGUUUCAUACUCGCAGCCAACGCCACUAACAAGAAAAA